Molecule: long non-coding RNA, 2159 nt
Filed under: Nicotiana benthamiana
Lineage: Eukaryota; Viridiplantae; Streptophyta; Magnoliopsida; Solanales; Solanaceae
Description: long non-coding RNA (NBEN_LNC017506)
Source: RNAcentral
AGUGGUAUAUACAUGUAAAAAUCUCUUUUUUUAAUUAUAUUUUUUAAAUUGUAGGAAAUAACAUGCACAUAACAAAAAUAUCAAUUACAUCAUACUUCCAUAAACAAAUAUACAAAUGUACAUGUAUAAAAAAAGGGUGUUACAUCCUACUGGUGAUUGUAUAACCAUGAUUCAUACAUGUCAUGGUGCUGUUUACACAAUAUUUUAGCAAAAAUAACUUUUUUCCUAGCUACACUGUAAGUGAUAAAGAAUACUUCAUAAAGUCUUCAAAACUAGCAUAUUACUUGUAUGUUCAACUCUUCAAACCCUGUAAAAAGUAAAAAGAAAUUUCCUUUUAGAAAAUUAUGAAAAUCAUAUUAAGUAUCUGAAAGAUAACAACAAUGAGAGAAAUACCUGAAUAUUGCAUACUUUCCUCUCUUUCAAAGCAUGUCAUUUUCAUAUACAGUCCAAUUGCACUUUUCAAAUACAAGAUUAGUGUAAAAAAAAAACUAUCCAUAUUUACGAAAUACAUUAUCCGAGUAACAAUACCAUCAAAAGUUAUAAGCCAGCACAUAUUGUAUACAAAGGUUUACUAAGCACAACCUCAUGGCCACUGAUAGUAACUAAACACACUCAAAACAACUCAAGGAAUGAUUUCUUCAUUUGCCAUUUCAAGAAUAUGAAUUUAGGAAACAGUAAAACUAUUGUUAACGUUAUAUGUGUCCAUACAUAUGUCUUUGUUCAAAUAAAAUAAUUAUUGUCUAUAGCUAACAUCACUCAUAACCUAAGAUCACCAAUAAAAGAUGUUCCUUAGGAAGUAUUUAUUAGAAAAGACCAAAGUAGAUGGUGAGAAUUACAGUAAGAACUUUUAUUUAAAUGCCAUACAUAUUGAUAGUCCCACCGAAGCUUGACGAAAAAAAGUCAUUGUGACGAUCCGACCCGUCGUCACGUGAGUUACCGCUCCAUUUUUCCCGUUUUAUGCUUCUAUAUCUUUCAUUAUAUGUGUUUGUAGAGUUUGAAGUGAUUCAGACACUUGGUUGGAAUUGAGAAAAUUAGUCUCUUUAAGAGAAGACUAGUUAGAAAAAGUUAACCGGAUAUUGACUUAUGAGUUAUAGGGCUCGAAAUAGAUUUCCGACAAUUUGGAUAGUUUCGAGUGGUGAUUUAUGACUUUGGAGUGAAAACAGACCUGAAUUUGGAGGUCCGAUGUAGAAUUAUGCUUGAAUUGGUUAAGUUUGAAUUUCGACGAAUUCCGGUUGAUAGGUGAGAUUUGCUCUGGGAGUCGGAAUGGAAUUCCGAGAGCUACUGUAGCGUCGUUAGGUGAUUUUGGAUAUGUCUGCAAAUUUUCAGGGUAUUCGGACGUCGUUUGGUCGGCUUUUUGAUCGAAUGUUAGUUUCGAAAGUUAUAGUUGAAACUUAGGCUUUAGUCCGUCGUGAAUUAAUAGUUUUUCUGUUGUUGGUCGUGUUUUUAUAAUUGAAACAAGUUCGUAUGAUGAUUUGGGGUAUGUUGGUGUUUUUGGUUGGGGUCCCGGGGGGCCUCGGGGUGAUUUUGGAUGAUUUUCGGGAAGUUUGGACUUAUGAAAAUCUGCAUAAAUUGCAGCAGCACUGCAACAGGUAUUUAGCCAUCGCGAUCGCGUGACUUGGGGUGUGAUCGCAUAGGGUUGGGUGCUGCAUGCCUUGCGUUCGCGUGAGUUGAGUCACGAUCGCGUAGGUGUGGCAUCUGAAGCAUGACGGUCGUGUGGAGCAGGUCGCGUUCACAUAGAAGAAUCUAGGGGCCCAACCAAGAUCUGUUCAUCGCGUUCGCGUGAGUUGAGUCACGAUCGCGUAGGUGUGGCAUCUGAAGUAUCACGGUCGUGUGGAGAAGGUCACGUUCACAUAGAAGAAUCUAGGGGCCCAACCAAGUUUGUUCAUCGCAUUCGCGGUCGUGGGGGUCGCGAUAGCGUAGUACGUGAAUUUAAGCAUCGCGAUCGAGUCUGGCGGUAUGCGAUCGCGUAGAAGGAAAUUUAGCUGGGCAGAGGGAUAUUACUGAAAAUUUCAGUCGCGAACCCAUCAUUAUUUUCUCUAUUGUUGCAUCAACUCGAGAGCUUGUUGGUUGAUUUUGAAGGGGAUUUUGACGGGAAGUGAUUGGAGGUAAGUCUUGUGGCCUAGAUACGUCAUUUAAUCGAAGAAUCAUCCAUUAAUUCU